This 254-nucleotide ribosomal RNA is filed under the name uncultured bacterium. RNAcentral describes it as "partial 16S ribosomal RNA". It matches the Rfam family "Bacterial small subunit ribosomal RNA", at positions 524 to 776 of the family's 1533-position model. The record is from RNAcentral.
UACGUAGGGCGCAAGCGUUAUCCGGAAUUAUUGGGCGUAAAGAGCUCGUAGGCGGUUUGUCGCGUCUGCCGUGAAAACCCGGGGCUCAACUCCGGGCCUGCAGCCGAUACGGGCAGACUAGAGUUCGGCAGGGGAGACUGGAAUUCCUGGUGUAGCGGUGAAAUGCGCAGAUAUCAGGAGGAACACCGGUGGCGAAGGCGGGUCUCUGGGCCGAUACUGACGCUGACAGCGCGAAAGCUAGGGGAGCGAACGGG